RNAcentral lists this transfer RNA (62 nucleotides) under Euprepiophis perlaceus (Szechwan rat snake). RNAcentral describes it as "Euprepiophis perlacea (Szechwan rat snake) tRNA-Tyr". The record is from RNAcentral. Lineage: Eukaryota; Metazoa; Chordata; Lepidosauria; Squamata; Colubridae.
GGUAGUAUGGCUGAUUAAAGCGGCAAUUUGUAAAAUUGUGUAUAGGAUAUCCCUUGCUACCA